RNAcentral lists this transfer RNA (74 nucleotides) under Alphaproteobacteria bacterium MarineAlpha3_Bin6. Its description in RNAcentral is "tRNA-Gly". It matches the Rfam family "tRNA". Rfam says of the family: Transfer RNA (tRNA) molecules are approximately 80 nucleotides in length. The record is from RNAcentral. RNAcentral also lists the same sequence under 1 other name. Lineage: Bacteria; Pseudomonadati; Pseudomonadota; Alphaproteobacteria.
GCGGGCGUAGUUCAGUGGUAGAACGAAAGCUUCCCAAGCUUUAGACGAGGGUUCAAUUCCCUUCGCCCGCUCCA